ACCCUUGCGAACACCUUACCUUACACCAUGCACAUACCAUUUAAGAUCUAAAACUAAAGUUUAAUAUUUAGUAAUAAAUGAUGGCUUUUAGAAGUUUACAUCUUUGUAAAAAGUAAGCGUAGAACGUGGGCACACCCAUCCUCGUUAUCAUUUCAUAAUAUAUCGGAAAGCUACUCUAGUCACUACCUACUGCACCUUCCACUGUUCGAGUAAUACCUACAGGUCACUAUCUGGCUUCGCUACAUGCAACAAAGUUAGGAAUCGCCAACUGUGACAGUUCCAGGCAAUGUGAUGAACCUGAGGUCAUCGAAACCCUGGAACAUCUGAUCUGCAACUGCCCAGCUCUUUUAAUGGAAAGGAGGAAAUACCUGGGCGCCCAGGUGCUGGCAUCGCUGGAAGAUGCCUCCAAGAGGACGCAACAGGAACUACUCGCCUAUGCAAAAACACUUGGAUUCUCGAGGACUUUAAAAUCACAGGCCCCGUUGAGGGCCGUGCUUGGAUUUAUAAAGAGGUAGUCAAAGGAAUUGUAUGACCCCUGUAUAACGAAGACUCUCUAUUAUUGGGUUAAGAUGGCGAUCUCACACUUGCAUCCCAGUAAUAAUUCGUCCAAAGUUAAAAAAAAUUAAUUUGUUCGACUUUAAUGUAAAACUUUUUAUUUAAACAUCUUAACAAAUGGCAGCAACAGACACAUUGAAUAUUAUUUUUGUUUUUAACGGAUGGAUACUUAAAUAACUACAAAAAUGCUCCAUUUCCACAUUGCAGUACAUUAAAACAUACGCUGCAAA
Long non-coding RNA from Drosophila pseudoobscura, 785 nucleotides. RefSeq lists it as uncharacterized. The transcript is spliced from 2 exons. NCBI's taxonomy places the organism in Eukaryota, Metazoa, Arthropoda, Insecta, Diptera, Drosophilidae. The record is from RefSeq and is a predicted model, not a curated record.